This 619-nucleotide ribosomal RNA is filed under the name proteobacterium enrichment culture clone E79. RNAcentral's name for it is "bacterial SSU rRNA". It matches the Rfam family "Bacterial small subunit ribosomal RNA", at positions 104 to 719 of the family's 1533-position model. The record is from RNAcentral. Lineage: Bacteria; Pseudomonadati; Pseudomonadota.
GGGUGAGUAAUACAUCGGAACGUGCCCGAUCGUGGGGGAUAGCUCGGCGAAAGCCGGAUUAAUACCGCAUACGAUCUUCGGAUGAAAGCAGGGGACCGCAAGGCCUUGCGCGAACGGAGCGGCCGAUGGCAGAUUAGGUAGUUGGUGGGGUAAAGGCUCACCAAGCCGACGAUCUGUAGCUGGUCUGAGAGGACGACCAGCCACACUGGGACUGAGACACGGCCCAGACUCCUACGGGAGGCAGCAGUGGGGAAUUUUGGACAAUGGGCGCAAGCCUGAUCCAGCAAUGCCGCGUGCAGGAUGAAGGCCUUCGGGUUGUAAACUGCUUUUGUACGGAACGAAAAGGCUCUGGUUAAUACCUGGGGCUCAUGACGGUACCGUAAGAAUAAGCACCGGCUAACUACGUGCCAGCAGCCGCGGUAAUACGUAGGGUGCGAGCGUUAAUCGGAAUUACUGGGCGUAAAGCGUGCGCAGGCGGUGAUGUAAGACAGUUGUGAAAUCCCCGGGCUCAACCUGGGAACUGCGUCUGUGACUGCAUCGCUGGAGUGCGGCAGAGGGGGAUGGAAUUCCGCGUGUAGCAGUGAAAUGCGUAGAUAUGCGGAGGAACACCGAUGGCGAA